AUAAUUUUCAAUAACGAUCGUUCAUUAUUUAAAGGGUUUUUUGUGCAAUUUCUUAAAUGAAAAAGAGAUUAAAGGAUUAUUCUAGUAGCACAAAAUUUGGGUAGAAAAGAAGAAAACUGUAUUAUCAUGAAGAAACAUAUCACACUUUUAUGCCCCAUUGUGGUGGCAUUACAUAAUAUAAAAUGUAUUUGUUGUUUCGUUUAACGAUUGCUAGAUAAAUCUUCUUUUAAAUAAUAUGCUUAUAUAUUGAUACCGGGUGUGAUUUUAUAAGUGAAGAUACGAAAUGAAUUAUUUACUACAUAUAUCUAUAAUUUAAAGCGCA
This 322-nucleotide long non-coding RNA is filed under the name Polistes fuscatus (common paper wasp). RNAcentral describes it as "uncharacterized LOC122520407". Lineage: Eukaryota; Metazoa; Arthropoda; Insecta; Hymenoptera; Vespidae. The record is from RNAcentral.